CUACGUGCCAGCAGCCGCGGUAAUACGGAGAGUGCGAGCGUUAAUCGGAAUAACUGGGCGUAAAGGGCACGCAGGCGGUGACUUAAGUGAGGUGUGAAAGCCCCGGGCUUAACCUGGGAAUUGCAUUUCAUACUGGGUCGCUAGAGUACUUUAGGGAGGGGUAGAAUUCCACGUGUAGCGGUGAAAUGCGUAGAGAUGUGGAGGAAUACCGAAGGCGAAGGCAGCCCCUUGGGAAUGUACUGACGCUCAUGUGCGAAAGCGUGGGGAGCAAACAGGAUUAGAUACCCUGGUAGUCCACGCUGUAAACGAUGUCGAUUUGGGGGUUGAACUUUGAGUUUGGCGCCCGUAGCUAACGUGAUAAAUCGACCGCCUGGGGAGUACGGCCGCAAGGUUAAAACUCAAAUGAAUUGACGGGGGCCCGCACAAGCGGUGGAGCAUGUGGUUUAAUUCGAUGCAACGCGAAGAACCUUACCUACUCUU
RNAcentral lists this ribosomal RNA (480 nucleotides) under uncultured bacterium. RNAcentral describes it as "bacterial SSU rRNA". It matches the Rfam family "Bacterial small subunit ribosomal RNA", at positions 501 to 982 of the family's 1533-position model. The record is from RNAcentral.